RNAcentral lists this long non-coding RNA (35551 nucleotides) under Citrus maxima (pomelo). RNAcentral describes it as "long non-coding RNA (CMAX_LNC003646)". The record is from RNAcentral. Lineage: Eukaryota; Viridiplantae; Streptophyta; Magnoliopsida; Sapindales; Rutaceae.
UUACGGUUUCCCCGCCAAAACCACUUCUCUGGGGCAUUCUGUCGAACAUCUAUGGACAUAUAUCAAACACAUUAUUUUAACUGUUACUAAUGUUGUGUCUGAUACAAUAAGCAUGGCAACCACAAAUUCAAUUGCUUUGCUCUUGUUGAAAAUAAGAAAGAACUGCAAACAGAGCUUGCAGCAUCGUUAGGAGAAGUAUGACAAAAGCAGCAAGAACGGAGAUGAUUGCCCACGGAGUGUUGAAAUAAUUGUGCCUCAAAUUGGCCAUCCACUUAUUACGACGCCUGCUGCGAUGGAAGUUCACUUUGUUAAAUACCUCCCAGUAAUAGAACUGCUUACCGAGUACAGCACCAUCACCAAGCUUGUGCAUUAAGGUUACAAUCACUUCAUCAUCUCCUAAAAUAUUAUCAAUUAUUCCACGAUGACGAAGUAAUUCAGCAUCCUUUGAAGAGUUGAUGAGGCAGCCCAACAAUUCAACAUAAUCUAUUACAUGCUUCGGAUUUAUAUCUUGGGAACACUGCUCGAAUGUAAUGAGAUUCUGAAAAAUAGUUUCUGUAGCAUCAGUAAUUUCCAGGGAUGGGAUCUUCAUUACCCCAUUUUCGAACUUAAUAUCGAACAAGGAAUCAUCCUUAUGGACCUCAAACAUCUCGAACUGGACUCCAGCCUCUUGAAUGCCGAUGGCAGAACAAAUGAAUCUCCAGUCACUAUUAUUUUUGCCAUUAUUCCGAAAUGCAUUGAUGCCUGCAGAUGAUGGAAGCCAGUUAUCGUGUAUCAAAUGGACUAGAUGUUUGACUUCAUUUAUGCGAUAAUCUUUAUCUCGAUAAACAUCAUCCCUUCGACAACCCUUUCCUGGUAAUAUGCCAUUGAAAAAACGAAGGAUCAUGAGAAGAAAGUUAUCAUCAUUUGAAUUAUUAGGCAUCUUAGUAAUGGUAAACAACUUCCAGAGAACAAAAAAUGGAAGUUGAUUCUCAAGCAAAAUCAUAUCUCGUGCUAUGGAAGGUAACAUCCAACUCAGUUUAAAAAUUGGGUCAUCAUCUCCUCUCAAGCGUGUCAAUGCAAACUUACGAAUAACCUCGACGAUAAAACAACCAUCGAGAAGCAUCAUUAGCACAAACUUAUCUGUCUCUAAACUUAGGGACCCUCCAUAACAAUUUUUAGCUCUUUCUUCCAUUGCCCUCAUGGCUAUGACAUAGUCUGGCAAAGGCUUGCUCGUACGGUCUAGAAGUUCUCUGAGAUAGCGUGUUUUGUGCACCUCAAAGGUCGAUAAUUCUUCUUUACCGUGAUGAUAAGGACCAAUUGCUAGCAUUUUUGGUUCAUAAGCCUUUUCAUUUAACUUACGCAGUACAUCAGGCACCUUAAAAAUGUUGAACCGAUCAGAUGGUGUAGCAGUUAGACCAUCAAGCUUUUCCUUAACAAGAUCAAGUACUCUGUCAGCUGAUGGACUUGCCAUGCCUUGAUCUGCAUUUUAAGUCACAGGAUCAAAAUUUCAAAAAUGUUGAAAUCUGUAUAUCCAUAAUUAUUGACAACCACAGAAGACACAAGUACUUGAAUUUUUCAUAAAAGCUACUAUGAUGGUCAGGAAUUAUGUUUGAAUUUUAAUAAAUCUAGCUAACACCUAGUGAUAGAUAAUAGUUUCGACAUCUAAGAAUUAUACUACUUGCACAGCAGGAGGGAGUGAAACAAAAUCAUCAAUAUUCAACAAUAACCCAUUAAUUGAAUGACCAAAAACAACUCAAAAAGUUAUAUAUUUGUUUCGAUUUCAAUUCUUUAUAUCCUUAGUAAUAGUUCCUACAGCACUAAGCCAGAUCAUGGAUCUCUACUGUCACACGACUAAAGAAACCAAGCAGAAUUCACACGAAGUCGAUUAAUGCUUCAGAGUUAUAAGAUAUAUUAUUCUAAACAAUUUUGUAAUAACUUACUCGUUUGAAGGCUACCGUUCCUGUUGCUUAACGAGAUCGCAAUCUUACCGGUGCAAUGACGAGAUCCCAGUCUUACCGUUGCAAGGAAUUCGAUCCUUUGUUUUCUUUUGAUGAAAUAAAGUAGUAGAAUGUUUACUAAUAAUACAAAGGAGACUUCACGCGGGUGUGGGCUCCAAUCCGAAAAUUUAAAAUAUUUUAAAAUGAUUCUGACCAUAAAUUCAGCAUUCAACAAAGCUCAAUUUUACAACAUUACCCCUUCAACUGUAAACUUUCUUGAACACUCUUCUUUCUCCCUCAAUUGUUUCUCUUCUUUUCAAAAAAAAUAAAAGAAAAGAAAAAUUGUUUCUCCUCAAUCUGAUGAAAAGCCACUUGAAACCAGAGCUCUUUUUUUUUUUUUUUAUAGUAAAAAUCUGUUUCAGAAUAUCAUCGAACAAGUUCUCUAGCUUAAAAUUAUCUUGACAAAUCUUUUUUAAUUUUUACUUUUUUUAUUAAAUAUACAUUUCACAAUAUCACAUGAAUUACAUACACAAGUAAAUUUUUUUAAUUUAAGCUAAAAAAGGAAGCCUAAUUCAUUUUACCAUCCGGCCAACCGAAAGUUAUUAUAGACUUAUAAUGUUCUUAAAAUUCACUCAAUAUACAAUUUAUUUCUUUAUUUUUAUUUUUUAUUGAAUGUAUCCCAAUAUUCACUUGUUUUUUUUAUUUUGAGUGAUUGUCUCACUCGCUGAUUCUAGAUUCGACAUGUGUCCCAUAACACAUCUUUUAUAUUUACCGAAAAGCACACUCGUAUUUUUGUCUUUUGCAUCAUUAUUUUAUUUGACUUAAACAUCAUCCUAUAACCUCACAAUAAUUACUUACACAAGUGAAUUUUAAUUUAAACUUAAAGCUUACUUGAUUUUAAUAAUUUUUAGAUUAUUUGAGUCAUUCUAUGUAGUAAAAGACUGUGUAUUUGUUUAAUAAUUAUAUUAUACAGUUUGUUAAAUUAUUUGGUCCUUUUUCAUUGUCAUUGAAAAAGAAUCUUUGAAAUUAUGUUUCCAUAAUUAUUAAAUUAAAUGGGUGCAUAUAAUGCUAAAUUUAUUAUAUAAAAUGUUAUUGUUUAUAUUUAUCCUUGCCCCAUUUUGAUCUUGUUAUGUUUGGAAUAUUUUACUCUAGCUAACUCUCCAAAUAAUUGAAAAGGUAUCAAGAAACAAUUUGUUUGUUUGUUGUUUGUUUAUUCAUUUAAAUCUAUGUGUGGUUCAAAAAAAAAAAAUUCAUGGAACUUAGAUAACUACAAAUAUAGUUCAAAUAAAUUUCUAAGUUUCUGGCUUCUCUGGGACUUGAGAUAAGUAGUUGAAAGUAAUUUCUUGAAAUUUAGGAGAAGUAAUUGGAACAAUUUUGGAGAAACAGUUGACGUGUUUGAUCAAAAGUAUUUUGCUUAAACUUUGAAAGGACAUUGUGGUAAAUAAAAAGUGGCAGGGCUUUAAUUAUAAUAAAUAUAUGGGAUGAUAGUUAAAUCAAGUAAGACAAUGAAUAUAAUAGACAAAAUAAACAAUAGAUAAGUAUAAAACUAUAAAUGAUGUUUGGACCUGCCGCCUAUGGUACAGAUUCUGUACCUAACAUCUCCCCCCGUCAUCCCACCAUCCCAUUUUCUAUUGUUUAAUUUCCCACUCCACAUCCAACGACAUCCAACGGCUGAUGCUGCAGUCUGUAGCUUACUGAUUCUGUAAGCUAGUCGAGUCCAUGAUGUUUAUGGAGCCUACAACACUUUUUAUCUCUCACGUGUCAAAUGCAAAAUGAGAGACCAUAGCAUUCGUCUUUUUAUUUUUUUCUGCUUUUCUUUUAAGAUUGACACUUUUUCCUCAUCGGCAUCACUUUCUACAAAUCAAUUCUAUUGGUAUAAGAUUGUUUUAUACCUUAAUUAAGGUCUUUGGUAAGUAUAGUUGUAUUAAAUAUUUUUUGAGAGAAUUUUAUCUUAAUGAAGAAUACGAAGAUUUUUUUUUUUUUACUAUAAUCUAUUUUGUAAAUAGUAAUUAAAAAAAUGAUUUCAAAUUUUUAGGUAAAAAUUAUUAUUACCACUUUUUUGGCUAAAACUUUUUCAAUGGAUGUGAAAAACUUCUUCUAAUUACUUGGGAGAACGUUUCGGUAAUGGUUUUGAUGGCUUUCCUCAGUAGAUUAAUUUAUUAUUUAGUUUGCUUUUGAGUUUUAGUACUUUUAAGUCUUUGUAGCUAAUUGACGUUUGCAAUAGAACUAGCAAUAAAUUAAAUUAUUUAACAGAAAGAAGCAUAUCCUAUCCAAAAAAAAAGAAAGAAAGAAGCAUAUAGUAUUCACAUCUUCAUCAGAUAUCAGAAUAAAUAAAUUAUUGUGGUGUAAAACUUCUGUACAAUUUCCAUCCAUCACCUGUUAUAUGUUUAUCCAAAAUCCAAUUCAGAGAGGAAGUAUCACCACUAGUCCACCUACGGCACACUAGAAUAAGAUCACUGUGUAAAAGCAAAGUAUAUAUGAACUGAUAGUGAAAUUUACUUGUUAAUUCCUAUCUUAAACGAAUUAAAUCCCAUUUUUCAAUAAUAAACUUGUUAAUUUCAAAUCACAGAUGAAGUACCACUAUUGAUAACUAAGAUGAAAGACUGAACUACGAACUAGCUGCGAAACUUACUUGUUAAAGGCUGCCUGCCUGCCCUUGCUCACUCAAUCUCCUAUCUUCUUUGCAGUGCUAGCUAACUCCUUAAUAAUUUCCUUACGGAAUGAAAACUUCGGUAGCCAAUGGCUCAUACUUAUAUACAGUAGUUAUUUGUCCAGUAGUUAAGACUCUAUUGCCUUGUGACUCAUACUUAUUUGUCCAGUAGUUAAGAUUCUAUGUCUUGGGUAGCUGUAAUCUAACGGUUCUGAUUUAACUCACUAUUCAUUCUCAAAACCCCAGUCAUUAAAUUUCACUCAUUAUAAUCUAACGGUUCCCAACAAACUGAUAAAUAAGGGGGGCACGGUGCCCAAGGGGCUGGUAGCUGGACCCAUAUUUUCGAAUGAUAUAAAUACACAAAAAGCCAAAGGCCAAAAAAUAAACGAAGGAGGGUCAUAAAUAUCUCUCCUCGUGGCUGGUGAGAUUGGCUGUAGUUAUCAUUUUUACAUUUCAAAAGCCACCGUACUUGUCAACAGUCAUAAUUACAUGUUUGCAUGUACUCCAAUCUUGCCUGCCAAUAAAACAUUUUGAGGAGUGCUAGAAACAGUCGCUUGUUUCUUGUGUUGACACGUGUUUUUCUUUUCAGUUCAUUUAUGGCUAUUUAAUUUUACCAUAAUAUCCUUAUUAAAUCUUCUUCCAUGAAGCGCUUUUUUUUUUUUUUUUAAAACCAAUCAUGCAUAAUCCAUUUAUGACCAUCACUCAAUUCAUUUUCUCUCUGCAGGCCAAACCAAACCCAACACCAGAACAGAACCGCUUUCCCAAGCGUGAAAGAGAAAGAGAGAAUAAUGGAGGUGAGGCUCUCCAUUUUAUGGUGGCAGCAGAGGAAUCCCAUGCAUCCAUCCGCCUUUUUCUAUGAAGCUUUAAUUUAAUAAGUUCUUAUGAAAAUUUUUCUUUUUAGAAAAAGUUAAAACAAAAACCCAGCUUAAGAGAUGACUAUCCUGAAAUUUGCAAGACUUCUGAUUUUUUUUUUUUUGGUGUUAUACUGAAGAUUUUAUUUAUAAGCAGAUCUAAACCCUUUUUGGAUGGUUGAAAAAAUUGGAGCAACUUUUUGUUGGGGAAGAAUGAAAGUGGUUCGAAGAGAUAUUGAUGAGUAAUGGGUGAGAGUGGAUUUGAGAGUGAGGAUAAUGGCCAUUGAUGAAAUGGCGAAAUCGAGUGAGUUUAGUGAGACAAAGAGGGAGAAGGCUUGAGGGCCCGAAAUGGAUGGAGGAAAAAUUGAGGAAGAGAAGAAUGAAAAAUGGAUUGAAGGAUAAAUCUGUAAUUUAAAAAUGAUGUUUUUUUAUAAUGAAUAAAAGUUUGGAGUGUUACGCAACUACAAAACUGACAUCUUUAUAAUAAAUACAAACAUAUUAUUAAAAUAAAUACAAUAAUUUAAAGUUUUAAUAUUACUUUAAAUGUUAAAAAUAAUUUAGUAUUAUUAAUCUACUAAAAAGAUUAUAUUAUUUUAUAUUACAUCUGUGUUAAUUAAAAACCUUUAAAGUUAAUCUUAUAAUUAUUUCAUUCAAAGGAUAUUAUAAUUAAAAAAUAAUUUUAAUGUUCUUUUUUAAAAAUUUAAGAGUUUUCGUGAUUAUUUUUUAAAAUUUUGCAAGUGUACGUAUCUUUUUAUCCUUUAGCAUAUGAAAAAAUAAUAUGUUUUAUUAUAAAAAAUUUUAAUAUUAAAUUUAGUAGGUUUGAUUAUAAAACUUAUUAUGUGUCCAUUUUAAAAUCUCAGCACUUUAAUAUAUAACUAAUGAUACAGCCACAAACUCUUGUACAAACUUAUUUUAUACAAACUGACGUGGCAUUAAUUCAUUGGUUGAAUGAAAAUAUAAAUUAAUAAAAACAAAUCAUGUGGGCCAAGUGAUAUUUAAUUCAAUCAAUCUUAUCAUGCCACAUCAGUUUAUAUAAAAUAAGUUUGUACAAGAGUUUGUAGCUGUAUCAUUACUCUUAAUAUAUUGAGAUAGAGUAAUGAUAAAGUCAAAAAUUUUUGUAUAAAUUUAUUUUAUAUAAACUUAAAUGAAAAUAUAAAAUAAUAAAAAUAAAUUAUGUAAAUUUAGAUAUAUUUAAUUUAAUUAAUUUUAAAAUACCACAAUAAUUUAUAUAAAAUAAAAUUUUAUAUCAUAAUUUGUGGAUAUUAGGAUAAUUCCGCACAAUUGCUUCUCAAGAAAAAGAUCAAGGAUCAGGUAGACAAAAUGUGUGGUAGCUAUGGUGUACACAGUACACGUCACCUCAAUUGACAAUUAGUGGGAGUGAAAAAAUCUAGCAAAAGUCUGGGUUACGUAACAUAUGUCGGUUAGGUGAAAAUGGUGGUUAAAACUUAAAAUCAAGGGUCCGCUUAUAAUAGAGUGCUGUGUAUUGCAACGUGUCUUCUCUCUCUUCAGAAAAUGAGCACACGUGAAUUUUAAAUUGAGCCCACGAUCAGUUUAAAAAAUUAAACUAAACAUUGCACGUGAUAGUUGAGGACAAAAAAUUAAAUUAAUUUUUUUAUUAUGAAGUAUGUAUUAUUUUUAACAUCCAUUUAACAUACAUAUUUUUUUAAUUUUAUAUUUAUCUUACAAUUAAUAUCUUUACAUGAUAGGAAUUUGAAGUUUUAUAAGCCUAUAUAUUUUCAUUUUAAUUGCAAAUAUCACUUUAUUAAUUUCACAAAAAUUAAAUCUAAUAUGAACCGUGAAAGAUUAUUUUAUUAAUAUCCUUUGAUUGUAAUUAUAAAAUUUUAUAUUAUUAAGAAUCACUACUUUUGUUAUGAUAAUUAAUAGUGACAAUAAAUAAAAUAUUACAUCCAAUAAUAUUUACAUGGGAAAAAAAGUGAAAGAAAAUUAUUUAUAUUUUUAGAUUUUUAUUGAUAUGGUAGAAAAUUAUCUCAGCUUUAUAAAAUUUAACUUUUACAAGUUUGUUUUCAUUUUAUUUUCAAAUGUCACUUUGUUAAGUUCAUAAAAAUUAAAUCUAACACAUAUUCCUAAUUAACUUUAGUUUAUAAAUUAUGGAAGAUAAUUUUAUUGUUAUUCUUUAAUAGUAAUUAUAAAAUUUUAUGCUACAAAAAGUCAUUACUUUUAUUAUGAUAAUGAAUAGUGACAAUAAGUAAAAUAUUACAUCAAAUAAUAUUUAAUGGAAAAAAUGAGGAAAAUAAUCAUUGUAUGUUUUUAUAUUUCCAUUAUAAAGAUAUGGUUUGGGAUACUUUAAUUUAAAAUUUUGGCACAAUAUUUGAGCCACUAAUAUCUCAUAGUCUAAUGGUUGAUAUUGAAAGUCAAAACAACAUUUCAUAAUGUUAUAUCCUCCACCAUUGAAUUGCAUGAAAUAAAUAGUUUAAUUUUUUGAUAAAAAAUAAAAUCAAAAUAUUUCUCACUCUAUAAUUAUAUAGAGAUAUAUAUUUUUCAAUAAUAAUUGGUGAAUAAAAUAUUUCUUAUUUGUUGUGACUCAUAUAGUAUUAUUAAUAAAACACAUAUAAAAUAGUUUAUUGCAAUGCUUUCUAUUAUCAUUAUUGUUUAGGUAUUAAUGGUUUGUAAUUAAAUUUAUACAAUACAAAUUAUUACAAGACUUUGUGUUAAAUAUACUUGAUAUUAUAUUUUAUACUUAAUGGUAACUGAUUUUGGAAGAUUUAUUUAAAAGAGAUUAUCAUAUUACAAAUUUAAAGGAGGGCUGAAAAGUAAUUUUAAAUAAAUAUACUAUUUAAGUGGAAUUGUUUCAAACUCUAAGGGUGGUUACAAUUAUUUUACAAAAAUUAUCCACCCACUUAAACUGUUACAAUUAUUUUUAAAUUAUUUUUUAGUACAAAUAUUGUAUACCAUUAAUUAGAUCUAAUGGUUCACAAUUGAUACAUUGUUGAUGCUGUAAAAAACUUUACAGCACAUAGAGUAACCCAACCCUUAUUUGAUUUUAUGGAUUAAUAAGUGGAAGUUCCACUAUUGCUUAAGUAAUGGAUUUCAUUAAUUUUGAAUAUUGGUUUUGCUAUUCAGCCAAAAAGCUCUGGAAGGGUGGGCGAAGACAGAGAAGCUUCCGUUUAAAAUAAAAAAUUAUAUAUAUUAUUUGAAUUUUAUUUGUUUGUACAAUUAGUUCAACCAAAUGCUUCAUUUUGAUUAAUAACAAACUAACUUUUAAUAUUUUGCUUGGUGAAUGGUGAUAAAGAGCUUCACGUCCCAGUAUAUGAUUUAGGUUUUAGAUUAAACAUAUUAAAAAGCCAAAGGCAAGAAAAUAAUUUUUAUUCAUCAGCUAUCUUCUAUUUUAUAAUGAUAUAAAUACGCAAAUUAUCCUAACAAUUACAAUAGAAAGUUAAAAGGAAAAUAAAUGAAAGAGAAUAGUAAUUAUCUGGUGGGAUUGAUGGUAGUUACGAUUAUGUCUAUUACAUUUUAAAAGUCAUCAUUACAUGACAUCAUUACAUUUUUGUAUGUGCUCCAUAAUUAUUAUGCUAGCUGCCAAUAAAACAUUUUUUCCAUUUUCCAGCAUAUGUUUGGAAUUGCAUUAGCCUAUGGAGAGAUCAAUUCUUAAUAAUAAAUUAAUGUCAUCAUCAAUAAUCCGUCUUGGGAUUUUCAUAAUCCGCUUUCAAACUUUAGAUCGAACAAAAAUUUUACCCUUUUAGAGAUAUUUAUAAUUAAAAAAAAAGUGAAAUAUUUUUUGUGGGAUAGAUUAAUAAUAUUUUCAUAGAAGAAAAAAAAGAUACAUACAUCCUCAAGAUUUAAAAAAAUAGUCAUAGAACAUCUUAAAUUUUUAAUAAGGGACACUAAAAUUCCAUUUUCACCAUGACCCUUUGACACUAUAAACUCAAAAUAUUGACCCCCAAAAAUUUUAUAAUAAAUAGAAAUAUGACAUUAAAAUAAAUAUAAUAAUAUAUAUUUAAAAUAAUUUUACAAUCUAUUAGAUUUAUUUUAUUAUAUUAAAAAAUUAAUAAUAAAUAAAAACAUAAUAUUAAAAUAAGUAAAAUUUAAUUAUUUUGAAUAUUAUAUAAAAGUUAAUUCUAAUAAUAUUAAUAGGGAGAUAUUUUGUUAAUUGUAAAAUCUAUUUAACCAAAGAUUUAUUUAAAAUCUUUAUAAUAAAUACAAAUCUAUUAUUAAAAUAAAUAUAAUAAUUUAAAAUUUUAAUAUUACUUUAAAUAUUAAAAAUAAUUUAAUAUUAUUAAUCUACUAGAAAGAUUAUAUUAUUUAUAUUAUGCUUGUAUUAAUUAAAAAUCUUUAAAGUUAAUCUUAUAAUUAUUUUAUUCAAAGGCUAUUAUAAUUAAAAAAUAAUUUUAGUGUUCUUUUUUUAAAAUUUAAGAGUUUUCAUGAUUAUUUUUUGCAAUUUUGAAAGUGUAGAUGUCUUUUUAUCCUUUGGCAUGUGAUAAAAUAAUAUGUUUUAUUAUGAAAAUUUUUAAUAUUAAAUUUAGUAGGUUUGAUUAUGAAAUUUGUUAUGUGUCCAAUUUAAAAUCUCAGUACUCCAGUACAUUGAGAUACUAGGACAAUUACGCACAAUUGCUUCUCAAGAAAAAGAUCAAGGAUCGGACGGACAAAAUAUGUGGUAAUUAUGGUGUACAAGUUACCUCAAUUAUUGGGAGUGAAAAAAUCUAGCAAAAGUCUGCUGAAAAUGGGUUACGUAACAUAUGUGGCCUAAGUGAAAUAUUUCAAGCACAUAUUAAUCUGAUCAGAUUAAACUAAAAGACUACCAAAGACCCCCCCAACUUAACAUAAAAAAUAGGGCCUAAGUGAAAUAUUUAACAGAUUAUGAUAAUUAUGAAUAAAAGAUUAAGAAUUAUGAAUGCCUAUUAAAACUCAAUUGGAAGAGGAUUUGUGUUUUGUUGUCUUCAGCAUUGAAGAUUUGCAAAUGUGAAACAUCAUGGUUAGUUGUAGGCUUUAGAGAUUCUAGAUGUAGGAAACGAAGUUAUUGAGUUAAAUUGUUUUUUAGAUUAGGAUAGGGAUUCUGAAGAACAAAAUAAUUAAUUUGAUUAAAUAUACUUAAGCCGCCAACUCUUUUAAUUAUAUAUAUACAUAUAGACACACACACACACCUAGGAUAGGGUUUAAUGUGGGCUUUUUAUAAAAUAAAAUUACAAGGGACUUAAAUAAAUACAGUUAACAUUAAAAUUAACAACCUACGCCAAAUAAAUAAUUGAAUUUAGGAGGAAAGUUUAGUUCAAGGGACUCUCGCCCCCUGUGGUCACUCGUUGGAUUCAUCAAUGUUCAUACGAAUAUUGGAGCCCCUACGCACCUGCGAACCAAACAUUUUACUUAUCAGAACAAAAACGAAGGGAAGAAGGGAAUAUCGUAUAGCAAUUGGAACGGUAGCAUUCAAACAAGUUGGCUCUGAUUAAAAAUUGUAUAAUAUAAUUUGUAUCUUAUAACUUUGAAGCAUUAAUCGACUUAUUAAAUGAUUUCCCUUACAUUAGUUAUUUCCUCUACCAAUGUUUAUGGAAGAAAUUAGUUAUUUAAAAGUUAUAUUUCCUCUACCAAUGUUUAUGGAAGAAAUUAGUUAUUUUUCUCUAUCUAAUUAGGAGGGGAAACAAAAGUCCCAACUUGAACCGACACCCUCAAGUUAUUACAUUUUAAAGUAAUCAUGUUGUAUUUGAUUUUAUGGAUUAAUAGUAAUUCUUCAAUUUUUCAACGUCUAGUGAUCCAAAAUCCACAUAAACUUUCCACAAAUAUGAAAAAAAGAUAAGAAAACAAAUCAAUAUAACAUGAUGCGCCAAAUCCAGUUUCUCUAGGGGGGAGGCCGAAUUUUGCUUCUCUACUUUAUACUUUGUGUUGUGCGAUAAAACUUCAAUUGUGAAAUAUCUCUUUAUAUAGGCACUAGAGUUUCACCAAAAUAGGAAAUCUUAAAAGACUUGGAUUCUUUCCAAAUAAGAGUUUCUUUCCUUUUUAUAAUUCCUAUGAAUUUGAAUAUGAAUAAAUCUGAUAUUCUUGUCUUAUUUGUCUCCUGAGAAAUAUAUAUAACAUUUAAUGACUUCUUGUUUGAACCAACUUCUUGCUCUAAAUAGAUCUCAUGCGCCAAUUAUUGAAUCUCACUAUUAAUUGACUUGAUAAAUUAGAUAUCUAAUUAAAUUAGGAAACAAAUAUUCAUAAUAAAUUAGAAUAUCACUAAAUUAAGGAAUUAAUAAAUUAAUUCCUAUUACAAGAUAUGUGUUUUCAACUGAUUUUGGGGUAGGAAAAUCCAAAAUCUAUCUUGAACAAUGAAUUUAUAUUUUUGAGGGAGAUGGGGUACCUCACUAGUAUAUAGUGUGUGGUGCGGUGUAUCUGAAAUUCGGAGGAGGUGAGAAUGGGAGAGAGAGUGGUAACAAUGAUGGAAGGUCAGAGACGAGAGAUGUGUCCUUCCAAAAUGAGCUUUACGCCUGCAAAACAAUGAAAUAGAGUUAGAGGUGAAGCCGGGGCACCCCGGCGUUCACACUCCGACGCUCAAGUUAGUAAACUCAAGCUUUUAUGGCAAAGAGAGCUAGCUAGCCCUCUGUAAAUUAGGGUUUAAGGUUGAAGAAAACCUAUUUUUUGGAGUGUGAGUGUUUUUGGGCGAAUGAGAGCAUGAUGGAGAAUGAAACCUAGGCGCCUUUAUAUAUGGAGUACCUCAGCUACCACGUGGCAUAUCCUUUUUGGCUAACGUCCUUUUACCUCUUUAUAAUUUUUGGGCCGUUAUCUGCAUGUUCGCAGCGUAUCUCAUCUUUUGGAAACGUGGCGCACGCUGGAGAGUGGUCCAGGGUACCUCUGCAGUAGUUGUCGGGUAGGCGGCUGGGGGCCACUGUCCUUGAGACAGUGUCCUUCACUUUUGGCAGAGGUAGCAGGCGGCUGUCCCUCCUUUUUGCACGUCGUUUGUUAUUCCUAAUUCUGAAAAAAUCGAAUAAUAUCUUUUAGGAGGCGGAGACGUUUCUCAUGGUGGAUAUUUUCGGAGGAUUCUCUUGCAUCCGCUUUGCCGGGUACCUCGAGUUACGUGGGGUACCCCUAUUUGUAUGGGGUACCUCUAUUUGUGUGGGAUACCCCUAUUUACACGGGGUUCCUCAAGUCAUGCCAGGCACCUCGGAUUGUGCAGGGUACCUCUAUUUACACGGGGUUCCUCAAGUCAUGCCGGGCACCUCGGAUUGUGCAGGGUACCCUCCGAUUGUACUAAAAUCAUUCCAUUGGUUGACACGUGGCGCUCUAUUGCCUUUCAUAUUUUUCCCUCAAACAAUAUGUAAUAAAUAAACUUCUAAUUUAACUAGACUUACCAUAAAAUGAUAACUUUAUAAAUAAUGACCUUAACAAAAAAAAAAAUUUCUUCAUCAAUUAUUAUCUAUUUUAAAAUGAUAUAAAUACACAAGCUACCGUAACAAUUACAAAAGAAAGUCAAAGGAAAGUAAAUGAAGAAAGUAGUAACUGUCUGGUAGGGUUGGUGAUAGUUAUCAUUACGUCUUUGACAUUUCAAAAGUUACUGUUGCUCGUCAAGAGACCUCAUUCCAUUUUUGCAUGUGUUCCGUAAUUAUUAUGCUUGCGGCUGCCCAUAAGACAUUUUUUCCAUUUUCAUCAUACGUUUGGACUUUGGAAUUGCAUUAGUCUCUCCAGAGAUCAUUUCUUAAUAAUAAAUUAAUAUCAUCAUCAAUAAUCGGUCUUGGGAUUUUCAUAAUCCGCUUUCAAACUUUAGAUCGAACAAAAAUUUUACCCUCAGGUUUUUAGAGAUAUUUGUAAUUGAAAAAUUUUGAAAAACUUUUUGUGGGAUAGUUUAAUAAUAUUUUCGUAUUAAAAAAAAAAGACACAUGCAUCCUCAAGAUUUAGAAAAAUACUCAUAAAGCAUCCCAAAUUUUUAAUAAAAGACACCAAAAUUCUUUUUUGAUCAUGACCCUUUGAUACUAUGAACUCAAAAAAUUGAUUCCAAAAUUUUUAUAAUAAAUAGAAAUAUAGCAUUAAAAUAAAUAUAAUAAUAUAUAUUUAAAACAAUUUUACAAUCUAUUAGAUUUAUUUUAUUAUAUUAAAAUUUUAUAAUAAUAAAUAAAAACAUAAUAUUAAAAUAAAUAAAUUUAAAUUAUUUUGAAUAUUAUAUAAAAGUUAAUUUUAAUAAUAUUAAUAGGAGAUAUUUUGUUAAUUGUAAAAUCUAUUUAACCAAAGAUUUAUUUAAAAUCUUUAUAAUAAAUACAAACAUAUUAUUAAAAUAAAUAUAAUAAUUUAAAAUUUUAAUAUCACUUUAAAUGUUAAAAAUAAUUUAAUAUCAUUAAUCCACUAGAAAGAUUAUAUUAUUUAUAUUACGUUUGUAUUAAUUAAAAACCUUUAAAGUUAAUCUUAUAAUUAUUUCAUUCAAAGGAUAUUAUAAUUAAAAAAUAAUUUUAGUGUUCUUUUUUUUUAAAUUUAAGAGUUUUCGUGAUUAUUUUUUAAAAUUUUGAAAGUGUAAGUGUCUUUUUAUCCUUUGGCAUAUAACAAAUAUUAUGUUUUAUUAUAAAAUUUUUAAGGAAAAUUCUAUGAUGCCGUGAUUAAAAUUACGGUAUCAAUGCCGUAGUUAUUAUGUACCAUUAGAUUAGAUCAACGGCACAUAAUAAUUAUAAUCAUAUAAAUUUUAUUUUUUCAACAGGUUACAACCUGGUUAACAUUUUUUUAUAAGUAAAAGUUAACCGAUUAAAAUUAAAAAGAAUUAUUAUAUUUUUUUAGAAAAUUAUUAUAACUGAUUUAUUUUAAAAUCACUCAUUCACGUUAAUUAGGGAUUAUGAUAGGACCGAAGUAAAACUUCAGCCGAUUCAUAUUGAGAGGAAAAGAGCAACUGAGUCUUUCUCCACUACCAACUCCACGUCAUCGCCGUUCCGCCGUUUUGUUUCAUCAUGUGUUGCGAAAGGGGUUGUUUCCCAGUGGCCAACUCGAAGAGGCUAAAGCUUGUUAAAUUCCAAAACACAUAAUCCUUGCAAACUAGAACGGGCAAAGGCUAUCUUUGAAUUGUGCUUUUUUUUCCUGUUUUUCGAGCCAGACUGCCCACCAAGUUAGCCAAUUCUUGGUACUAAUUUUGUCUUUUAGUAUUGAUUUUUGGGGAAUUCCUUUUUUCACCUUGAUUUUCUUUUGAAUUGUUUUAUAUCUACUUGAUUUUCUUUCUUUCACUCUUUUGUAUUCUUUGGUUUUCUUCAUCAAAAUUUACUGUUUUCACAUGUUAUCUUUAUUAUUUCCUGCUAAUUAAUUUUGUAUUGUAAAUAAUCUAUUUGUUGGACUUCCAGAGUGAGCAAGUUAAUUUGAUUUAAUUAGGUGCCUAUUAUAAUAGCUUUUCUGGUUUGUUGUAGGCAAUUCUAACUGUAUUCUACAUAAACUUCCAUAUGAUUAGAUCUUCAUAAAUGCAAAGGAUAAUAAUGUUAUAAGCCAUUGGCCUAAGAAAAUGUGUAAAUCUUCUAUUUGAGGUACAAAUUUUCUAUCAUAUGUUUUUUUUUAUUUUGUAUUUUUUCACAAAGAACUGGUUGUUAAGAUCCUAUUUCAUUAGUUGAAACUGAUUGAAAGGAGAUUACCCUUCGGCAGUUGGUGGGAAAGAUUUAAGUUCAUCUUUCUGGAUCUUCUACUUUAGACUUAUCAUUCAAGAAAGUGUCAAAACUCGAAUGGCUGUAAAACUUUGAACAGAUUAUUAAUUAAUUUAGGUGCAAGAUCUUUUAUAACACUUUAAUAAGUUAUUACCAUUGCAUUCUUUUUUUCUUUUCUUUGAGAAGAAACCAUUUAACUUUAGACUAACUUCCAAAUUUACCUUUGUAAUUUAGCUAAAUAGGUAAAUUUAUUCAAAAGCUUUCCUCCUCGCAAGCUUAAGGUACUUCAACUUUGCCUACAACUACAAGUUAAAGAGAAAUUAUCGUGAAAACCGUGCCACGGCCGUAGUAUUUAAAAUGUGCACAAGGAGCUUAGAGAACUGGGCUUUGUUUGAUUACAUGAAAGGAAAUGGACAAAAUUUAUGUUACAAAAGAAGCUUGGAGCUGAUAAAUGAUGCAGUAUGAGUGAACUUUUUGUCGCUCUUUGAGGAAUUUUUCUACAAAUUUUGAUAUAGCUAUUAUUUUGGUGAAUGAUUUAUUCUUUUCUUUUUUCUUCAAUAUUAUGAUUUUGUUUCCAUAUUUUAAUAGAAAUUAUUAAAAUUCUAAGGAAAUUGCACUAUUUAUCUCAAGAAAGUGGCUUAAUUCUACAGAUAUGACAUCAUAUUGAGUAAUGUUUCCAUAAUUACAAGCAUAAUAGUGGCUUAACUCCAUGAUUUGAGUAUUUUUGCCAUUAUUUUUAAAUGCUAUUUUCCCUUUUUUAAGAAAAAAAUUGUAAAAGAGGGAGGGUGGCUUGAUUGAAUGGUUAACAAUAAUGGUCCUCACUGGUUAACAAGAUAUAAUAGUACUAAAAUAUUUUCUUUUCGGUUGGUUUGUAAUGAGGAUGGUUUCAUUUAUAUUGUUCAAAUUAACAUGCUCUUGCACGCUGAGGAAAUUAUAUUGUUUAUGCCAUAAAAGUGACUUAAUUCUAUAAAUAUGAUAUCACACUGAGUAAUUCUAGUAAUAUAACAAUUCAUUAAAAAUAAGUCGUAAACAUCCUUAAAAGAUGAUAUUUAUUCUCCAUUUUACCUGCUCAUUAGUCAUUACCCAUCUCUCUUUACCCAACCAUUACCAAUUCUUGGCUAAUAACUACCCAACUUGUAAUUGUUAAUUACUUGAUCUUUAUCUAAAAAUUUUGUAAUUGUUAAUUAUUUGAUCUUUAUCUAAAAAUUUUGUAAUUGUUAAUUACUUGAUCUUUAUCUAAAAAUUAUACAAUCUUUUACCUUACUCCUAUGACAUUUAUAUUCAUACUUUAUUUAUAUUGAACUAUGAUUGCGUAUUUUUCUAAUUUCUUGGGUUAAAAAAAAAUUGAAAAGAGAUCAUAUAUUUUGAAAUUAGAUACUUUUGAUGGCAUAACUUAACUAAAUGAAUUAUGUUACAUUAGUUUGUAGAAAAUAAAUUUAUAGAAUAGUUUAUAUGAUAAAUAAAAUAAAAAUUAAGAUGCAAACAUAUAUACAUGCAAGAAACACUUGGCCUGACUUUUUAGUCAGAUUGACUUGACCCGAAUUUUCUAAACUUUGACUUGAAUUUAAGGGUCUAGGAUCAGGCUCAAGCCUAAAUAUUAGCACCCAAUUAAAUUUAGAUUAGGGUUCAGGCCCUACAUGCUUGACCUGACCCUAAAACUUAAAAACAUUGUUUAUAUAUGUUUAUUAUUUAUAUAAUAAUAUGGUUGCGAUCUUGAGUGAUUUUUAUUUUUAUGUUACUUUAAACAAUUUCUAAAGCUUUUAUGUUACUUUAAACUUUUUAGUCAAAUGUCCAUUUUUUAAUUUUAAAUUAAUUAAAAAUUAAAAAAAUUUGAAAGCAACUAUGAUCGGGCCUAGGCUUUCAAAUAAUGUUAGAGUUGUAAAUUGCAAGAAGAACUUGUAAACGAAACAAAAACUUAGAAAAAUGACAUAGAACUUGUAAAUUGACAUUAAGUGUGAAAUGAAACAAAAAAAGUGUAAACCACACAUAAUACUAGUAAAUUGAUGGAAAAAUUGGUAAAUUAAUGUUGGAGUUGUAAAUUGCAAGAAGAACUUGUAAACAAAACAAAAACUUAGAAAAAUGACAUAGAACUUGUAAAUUGACAUUAAAUGUGAAAUGAAACAAAAAAUUUGUAAACCACACAUAAAACUAGUAAAUUAAUAGAAAAAUGGGUAAAUUAAUGUUGGAGUUGUAAUUGGCAAGAAGAACUUGUAAACAAAACAAAAACUUAGAAAAAUGACAUAUAACUUGUAAAUUGACAUUAAGUGUAAAAUGAAACAAAAAAUAUGUAAAUCACACAUAAAACUAGUAAAUUAAUGGAAAAUUGGUAAAUUAAUGUUAGAGUUGUAAAUUAUAAGAAGAACUUGUAAACAAAACAAAAACUUAGAAAAAUGACAUAGAACUUGUAAAUUGACAUUAAGUGUGAAAUGAAACAAAAAAUAUGUAAAUCACACAUAAAACUAGUAAAUUAAUGGAAAAAUUGGUAAAUUAAUAUUGGAGUUGUAAAUUGAAAGAAGAACUUGUAAACAAAACAAAAACUUAGAAAAAUGACAUAUAACUUGUACAUUUACAUUAAGUGUGAAAUAAAACAAAAAAUGUGUAAAUCACACAAAAAAUUAGUAAAUUGAUGGAAAAAUGUGUAAAUCACACAAAAAAUUAGUAAAUUGAUGGAAAAAUGAGUAAAUUAAUGUUGGAGUUGUAAAUUGUAAGAAGAACUUGUAAACAAAACAAAAACUUAGAAAAAUGACAUAGAACUUGUAAAUUGACAUUAAGUGUGAAAUAAAACAAAAAUGUGUAAAUCACACAUAAAACUAGUAAAUUGAUGGAAAAAUGAGUAAAUUAAUGUUGGAGUUGUAAAUUGUAAGAAGAACUUGUAAACAAAACAAAAACUUAGAAAAAUGACAUAAAACUUGUAAAUUGACAUUAAGUGUGAAAUAAAACAAAAAAUAUGUAAGUCACACAUAAAACUAGUAAAUUGAUGAAAAAAUUGGUAAAUUAAUGUUAGAGUUGUAAAUUAUAAGAAGAACUUGUAAACAAAACAAAAACUUAGAAAAAUGACAUAGAACUUGUAAAUUUACAUUAAGUGUGAAAUAAAACAAAAAAUGUGUAAAUCACACAAAAAACUAGUAAAUUGAUGGAAAACUUGGUAAAUUAAUGUUGGAGUUGUAAAUUGUAAGAAGAACUUGUAAACAAAACAAAAACUUAGAAAAAUGACAUAGAACUUGUAAAUUGACAUUAAGUGUGAAAUAAAAUAAAAAAUGUGUAAAUCACACAUAAAACUAGUAAAUUGAUGGAAAAAUGAGUAAAUUAAUGUUGGAGUUGUAAAUUGUAAGAAGAACUUGUAAACAAAACAAAAGCUUAGAAAAAUGACAUAAAACUUGUAAAUUGACAUUAAGUGUGAAAUAAAACAAAAAAUGUGUAAAUCACACAAAAAACUAGUAAAUUGAUGGAAAAAUUGGUAAAUUAAUGUUGGAGUUGUAAAUUGUAAGAAGAACUUGUAAACAAAACAAAAACUUAGAAAAAUGACAUAGAACUUGUAAAUUGACAUUAAGUGUGAAAUAAAAUAAAAAAUGUGUAAAUCACACAUAAAACUAGUAAAUUGAUGGAAAAAUGAGUAAAUUAAUGUUGGAGUUGUAAAUUGUAAGAAGAACUUGUAAACAAAACAAAACUUAGAAAAAUGACAUAAAACUUGUAAAUUGACAUUAAGUGUGAAAUAAAACAAAAAAUAUGUAAGUCACACAUAAAACUAGUAAAUUAAUGGAAAAAUUGGUAAAUUAAUGUUAGAGUUGUAAAUUGUAAGAAGAACUUGUAAACAAAACAAAAACUUAGAAAAAUGACAUAGAACUUGUAAAUUGACAUUAAGUGUGAAAUAAAACAAAAAAUGUAUAAAUCACACAAAAAACUAGUAAAUUGAUGGAAAAAUGAGUAAAUUAAUAUUGGAGUUGUAAAUUGUAAGAAUAACUUGUAAACAAAACAAAAACUUAGAAAAAUGACAUAGAACUUGUAAAUUGACAUUAAGUGUGAAAUUGAACAAAAAAUUUGUAAAUCACACAUAAAACUAGUAAAUUAAUGAAAAAAUAGGUAAAUUAAUGUUAGAGUUGUAAAUUAUAAGAAGAACUUGUAAACAAAACAAAAACUUGUAAAUGUUGCAUAAAACUUGUAAAUCAACAUUAACUUGUAAAAGUUUCAUAAAACUUGUAAAUCACACAUAAAAUAGUAAAUGUAACCUGGAACUUGAACAAAAAAGAGUAAUUACCUGCUACUUAGGUAACAUGUUAUCUAUUUAUUUAGAAUUAAUGGUAGAAAUUUUUUAUUCAAAUCUAACGGUUCACGUCCAUUACGGCAUCAAUGCCGUAAAUUUAGUUACGGCAUUAUAGAAUGACCCAAUUUUUAAUAUUAAAUUUAGUAGGUUAGAUUAUGAAACUUAUUACGUGUCCAUUUUAAAAUAUCUGCACUUCAGUAUAUUGAGAUAUUAGGAUAAUUACGCACAAUUGCUUCUCAAGAAAAAGAUCAAGGAUCGGGUAGACAAAAUGUGUGGUAAUUAUGGUGUGCAAGUCACCUCAAUCAUUAUUAUUAUUAUUCUAAAAGGCUACCAAAGACCCCCUCAACUUAACAUAAAAAAUAGGGCCUAAGUGAAAUAUUUAACAAAUUAUGAUAAUUAUGAAUAAAAGAUGAAGAAUUAUGAAUGCCUAUUAGAACUUAAUUGGAAGAGGAUUUGGGUUUUGCUGUCUUCAGCCUUGAAGAUUUGCAAAUGUGAAACAUCAUGGUUUGUUGUAGGCUUUAGAGAUUCUAGAUGUAGGAAACGAAGUUAUUGAGUCAAAUUGUUUUUUAGAUUAGGAUAGGGAUUCUGAAGAACAAAAUAAAUAAUUUGAUUAAAUAUAUACAUAUAGACAGACACACACACAUAGGAUAGAGUUUAAUGUGGGCUUUUUAUAAAAUAAAAUUACAAGGGACUUAAAUAAAUACAGUUAACAUUAAAAUUAACUACCUACGCCAAAUAAAUAAUUGAAUUUAGGAGGAAAGUUUAGUUCAAGGGACUCUCGCCCCCUGUGGUCACUCGUUGGAUUCAUCAAUGUUCGUACGAAUAUUGGAGCCCCUACGCACCUGCAAACCAAACAUUUUACUUAUCAGAACAAAAACGAAGGGAAGAAGGGAAUAUCGUAUAGCAAUUGGAACGGUAGCAUUCAAACAAUUUGGCUCUGAUUAAAAAUUGUAUAAUAUAAUUUGUAUCUUAUAACUUUGAAGCAUUAAUCGACUUAUUAAAUGAUUUCCCUUGCAUGGUAUUGUACCCUUGAAUUUUGCUUCUUUUCUUUAGCCGUGUGAGACACAGGAUCCCUGAUCUGGCUCAGUGCUUAUUCUCUUUAAAUGUUGAAACUAUUAUCAAUCACUUUGCUUGUCCCGGAAUUUAUUAAACUGCAGUCUUAAUUACUGACAUUUAAACGCAAAAUUCCAAGUACUUGUGUGGCACUUUUAAUUUGGUUGUCCACAAUUUAGUAAAAUUCAGAUUUCAACAUUUGUGCCUCUGUGUAUAUUUAAAUGCAGAUCAAGUCAUGGCAAGUGAACCACCUAAAAUGGUACUUGAUCUUGUUGGAGAAAAGCUUCAUCGCCCAACCCUGCACCUUCUCAAUUCAGCAUUUUCGGAGUCCCAGAUGUACUGCGCAAGUUAAAUGAAAAGGCUUACGAACCAGAAUUACUAGCAAUCGGUCCUUACCAUCACAGUAAACGUCACUUAUCGGCCUUUGAAGAGCACAAAAUCAGCUAUCAUCAAACUCUCAUAGAGCGAACGGGUAUACGUUAUGCAGAGUAUGUGAGGGCAAUGUGGGCACUGGAAGAAAGAGCUCGAAAUUGUUACGGAGGAUCCAUAAGUUUUGGCAAGAACGAGUUUGUUCAAAUGAUGUUUUGUCGAUAGUUGUUUCAUUGUUGAGGUUAUUCGUAAGUUUGGAUUGCCACAUUUGAGAGGAGAUGAUGGCCCCAUUUUUAAACAAGGAUGGAUGUUACCUCAUGUAGGAAGAGAUAUGAUUUUCCUUAACAAUCAACUUCCACUUUUCGUUGUUUGGAAGUUGUUUAUAAUGUCUGAGAUGUCUAAUAUUCCAAGGAACGAAAUUUACACUAUCAAGACAUUCAUGCUUUUAUUCUAGGAACUUUGCAUAUUUGUUGUUUGGUAGAAAAGGAGUGUCACGGAAUAGAGAAAAGUUCCACCCCACCUUUAGUCUGAUAAUAUGCCUCUCUGUUAAGUCUUUAGGUGUCUUGUUUUUAGCAUAUAUAUAGCAGAAGUCCAGCAGCUAACUCGUCCUUUACAUUGAACAAAUCUUAAUUAGCUGAGAAAAAAUUCAUAAGUUGAACAAAUAUUAAUUAGCUGAGAACUAAUCAUGAGUAGUAUUAGGGUCCGUUUGGGCUUGAGGUUGGUCAAUGUGUUUGGUAAACACUAAUCCAGGUACAUUGGUGAAAUCUUGAUCUUUGUACGACUUUUUCGUGAAUCAAUUCCUUAAAUUAGCACAAUAUUUCCCAUGAAGUUAUGCACACACCAAAUCAUGGUUCCUAUUCUAAUCUUAAUUAGACUGCAAGUAAUUCUGCUGUGCGCUCUGGCUUGUAGCAUUUUUUUUGGUCUUUAAUUUCGAAAGAUGAUAAUUAUUGUUAAUUCUUGAAUCACAUUUCAGGCAAGAUGUCGGGAACUGCCUUUACAUGAAGAGAAAGGCAUUAUAUGGCAAGUUUUCGCAGAAAGGUGUUGGGAAAAUAUGCUCUUUAAAAGCAUAUGUGUUUAUUUAAUUGUAAUAAACAUUUUUUCUGAUUAAUAAAAUAAAUGAGGUAUUUUAUUCAAAUAUCUUAAUUGCAUUAAUAUUUGUAUUAAAGUCCAUUUAAUCAUAUUAUAUGUAUUUAUGUGAUCACUAUGUGGAUUCACAGAAGACAUAAAUACAAGUUAUCUUAUGAUUAAAUAAAUUUAGUUCGCAGUUGAUAAAUAAAGUUGGGCACUUUAUUUAGGUAUAGACUGUAAUAAAUUCAUUGAAUGAUUUGUCUUAAUCAUGUAUGAAUUUAUUGAUGUAGUACGACUACAUUGAACAGGAUCACAUAUGAGAUUUAAUUAACUUUGUAAUAACUGUCAGACUUAUUAAAUCUCAUAGGCGUUGAUUUUACUGUAAUCUUAAUCUUGAGUUAAUUAUGAUUUCAUGAUUGUGAUUGUUAUUUCAUUUGAGUUACCAAUGGGCACGACACAUCCUUGUGGUCAAGAUUACCCGGUAUCUUGGUGGGAGCAAUUAUGAGUAUUGGAGUUAUGGAUUAACAAUAUAGAAUUUGUACAACACAUCUCUUGAUAGGUUUUCGGUACUUGAUCAUAAAAUUCUCUGGCCAGAGUGUAUCAACAUAUUUAGUAUGUUGAAAAUGAUCAUUAGAGAAAACCAGUAAGGAUCAAUGAAUAAGAUGUUAUUAAAUUGAUUGGACAGUUGAGAUAUCAAUUUAAUUAACGAUGUGGUACAAAGGAUUGUGCAGUAAAGAAAUCAAUGUGGCUUGGGACGAAUUAUUAUUCGAGCAUACAAUUAUGGAAGUCAGUUCCAAUCUUUUAGUGGAGUAGAUUUGGAAUUAAAUAAUUGGGCUAGUUUAAUUACAGGCCUAAUUAUUGUAGCCACUAUUGUAUGUUCCCAAAUGAUCCCCGGGUUAGCUCAUUUAAUUGACUGCACCACUACUGGACUAAUAAGUAAGAUAACUAGCUAUUUGGGUCAAAAGCCUAAAUAUAUCAUUUAGUGGGAGGCUCCAUUUAAUUAGCUUUUGUAUAAUGGGCCUUAUGUUAUUUUACAAGGUGGGUCCCCUAUUGAAAAAGAAAAUAACGUGAGUUUUAUGAAGGGUAUUACUAGGAGCCUAGGGUUUUCACUAAAGGGUGAUAUAAAAGGCUUAUUUUUCCCAAAAGAAAAAAGAGAAGCCACUUUAUAUAAAUCAGAGAAUAAGAUUUUUCUCUCCAUUGUUGAGAGAAAAAUUUUCUCGUGCUAGUUGCUUUGGUAGUGAUAAAGGCGCCCACACGUCAAGUGCAGAUCGAACCUGAGUCAUAACCUGGAAGAUCAUAGGAGACAGUUCGUGAUCUAACAAGCGUGGUGGUGACGGAUCGUGAUCUAACAGGAGUGGUGGUGGCGGAUCGUGAUCUAGGAGCCUAAAUCACUUCAGCGGAAAAAGCAAACUCAGAUUUACAAGGUACGAUUUCUAGAAUACGAAUUCUUAUAUAUUAUAUGAGAGCGAUCUUCAAAAGGUUUUAUAAAAAAUUAAAAAUCUAAUUUUUCCCCAACAAUUGGUAUCAGAGCCAUCUCAUAUUAAUAUAUAAGAAUUUCGUAUGAAAUCAUUCUUGAAAUUUAUGUAUUAGAGUGGCACAAUUUAUUCAGAUAUAUAUUAAUUGUUUAAUAUAUGAAUAAAGCAUGUUUUGGUUUGUCUUAAUUCAUGGUUAGAUUUUCCGUUGUAUUUUUCGUUUGGAUCUGUAACAAGAGGGGUGGCUUUUUAUCACCAUAAUUCCCUCUUGAUUUAUUUUACUGUAAUUGAAAUUUUGUAAGCCAAAAUUUGCGUUGAAAAUUUGUAAAUCACCGAAGCAUCAUCACUGGAAAACGAGCGCAAACAAUGGAGGACGGAAAUUUCAGCAACGGCCAGCAGCACACGCUGCUGUGCGAACAGCGCGCGGCCCGCGUGGGCAGCAACGCGCGCUGCACGCCCAGCAGUUGCCGCGUGCGCGCUGCAAGCCCGCAGAGCACGCUGUGACCAGCAGCUGCAGCGUGCAACCAGCAGCGUGAGCAAGGGCUUCUAGUUGCACGCGCGGGUUUGAUGCGUUUCCGGCGAGGCGGCAGCGGUUGGAGAUGUGUCGGAGAUCGGCGGCUGUCCGGUGUGAAACAGUGAACAAUGGUUGGAUGCCUUUGUGAUGAUGGCGGCUGGGGAAAGAAAAAUAUGGAUUUAGGGUUUCAUGGCUUUUGUCAUGGAGGUCCCUAUGGUUCCAUAAUUUUUUAUUUGGGCAGUCAAGUUUUAAUUUUUUGCAUUUAAGUCUAAAAACAGUUUUGGGCUUAAAGAAUCCUAGUUUUAGGCCCAAUUUCAAUUAGGCUUAAUGGAUUAAAAAUGCAUAGAUAAAAUUAAAUACAUUAAAUUUAUUUUUGGUCCAAAAGUUUUAUUUUAAUAAAAAUAAAAUUAAAACUAUUUAUUUUAUUUCAAAAUUAAAAUUGGACCAAUUAUAAAUUUAAAAGCCCAAUUUCCCCUAGUCCAUUAACAAAGACAAACUUAUGGAAGAUGGACAUUGACAAGAAGCCCAAUGAAGAUUAGGCUUAGGGUUAAUGUAUUUUUCAUUACUAGGAAAGCCAUGAAUUAAGAUUAUUUAAUUGUUUUUCUAUAUGUUAUGUUUUGGAUGAUAACAUGCCAUGAUAACAUGCCAUGAUAACAUGUCAUAUAGAAUAGGUAGUGCCACUCUAUGCAUAAUGAUACAUGUCAUUCAUUAAUAAUGAAUUUCAUUAUAUUGUUUGAAAUUUGUAUAUGCUUAAUAAUAUUUGAUAUCAUCUAGAUAAUAUUAUAGGAAGCAUGCAAUUAACAAUAUGUAUGUUUUAAAUAGGAAAAACCAAUUUUAAAAUAUUGAGUGGGAGAGGGAAAAUUCAAGAUAAUUUUCCCACGGGCUCCAUUGUUAGUUCAAUAAUAAAAUUAUAUAUAUACCUCGACUUCAUGAUACGGUGAUGCUCCCUACGGAGGGUAUAUAUAUUAGAUAUUUUAUUUGAUGAACUUCUUCAAAGAUAAAAUUGAAAUAUUUUUCAAUCGAUUGCUCACCCCAACGGUGACUAUUGAUAUGAAAAAUAUGUAGAUUGAAAUAAUGGUUAUACACUCAACUAAAAUUUGUUAUUAACCUUCCCAACGAAGCUCUGUUAACAAAUUUAGGCCCAAAAGGAUAACGAUAAUUAUUUAUCAUGUCUCUACAUGAAAGUAAAUAAUCCAAUGGAUAAUUGGGUCUAGUAAGUGUAGACAUGACUUCCCCAACGGAUAGCUUGUCAAAGCGGUACUAGAUUAUCGUUACAAUAAAUUAAAAUGCAUUUAUGGUUUUUUGCAUUUUUGUCAUUUAUUGUGAAUAUUAUUUCAAAUUAUUUAUGCAUGGAUGUUUUAUUUUUCAGAAAAUGUCUUCCCUGAGCCCACUUACUAUUAUUCUGAGUCAAAACAAACUCACUGGAGAGAACUAUAUAGAUUGGAAAAGAAAUCUAUUCAUUGUCCUGACUGCUGAAAAUUAUAAAUAUGUCUUAACCCAGCCAUGCCCUCCAGUUCCAGCAGAUGAUGCUCAUAGAAAUCAGAGGAGGCUUUAUGAGAAAUGGCAAAAGGCCAAUGAAAUGGCAAAGUGCUACAUUUUAGCCUCGAUUUCUAAUAUUCUGCAGACCAAACAUCAGAACUUAGAGACUGCCACUGAAAUAAUGGAUAGUCUCCAACAGAUGUUCGGGCAGAGUACUCGCUCUGCGAGACAAGCAGCGCUGAAAGGAAUUAUGAACAGUAAAAUGGGGAAGGGCACAAGAGUUCGUGAUCAUGUCCUCAAAAUGAUGGACUAUUUGAAUGAGGCUGAGAUUCAGGGAGCACAAAUCGAUGAUAACUCAAAGAUUGACAUGGUGCUAGAAUCUCUGCCAGAAACAUUCAAGGAGUUUAAGGUCAAUUAUAACAUGAACAAAAGAAACAUGACCUUAACUGAAUUGAUGAACGAACUUCAUUCUGCUGAAGAGAUCUAUCGUGCUGAGAAAUCUCUGGGAAGCAUAAAUAUUACUGAAAAAAGUUCAUCUUCUGGGCCUAAGCCGAAAGGCAAAGGUAAGAAGAAAGCUGGGAAAAAGAGACCGUCUACCAAGCAAGAUGGCAAGCCGAAAGGCAAAUGCUUCAAGUGUGGACAGAAAGGUCACUGGAAAAAGGAUUGCCCUAAGAUUGUGAAAUCAGGUAUGGGAAAUCUUUUUGUAAUUGAGGCCUGUUUAGUUCAGAAUCCUAUUGACACUUGGGUGUUGGAUUCAGGAGCAACUAAUCAUAUUUGUAAUUCACUUUAUUGGUUUCAGGAAACCAGGAAAAUAAGUGAAGGAAGCGUCAAGCUGCAGUUAGGGACAGGACAGUUCGUGUCAGCAGUGAAGACUGGAUCUGUUUUAUUAUCUUUUAAUAAUGAGACUUUAGUUUUGAAUAAUUGUCUUUAUGUUCCAGACAUUAAGAGGAAUUUAAUUUCAGUAGCUUGUUUGUCAAAGCAAGGGUACACUGUAAAUUUUGGAUCCUCUGUUUCUAUUUUUCAAAAUAAGAGACUUAUUUGUUCUGGUACAUUGGAAGAUAAUUUAUAUCAUUUAAGUCCAAUGAUCCAUUCUAUGCAUGACACAGUGAUAAAUAAUGAUGAGCAUACACACUUAUCUAAGAAAAGAAAUAUUUCUUCCAACCAAUGUUACCUCUGGCAUUUACGCUUGGGUCAUAUAAACCAAAAUAGGAUACAGAGAAUGAUCAAAGAUGGGCUCUUGGGUCCAUUAGAAAAUGAAUCAUUGCCACUCUGUGAAUCCUGUUUAGAAGGGAAAAUGACCAAAAGGCCAUUCUCGGCCAAAGGAGUACGUGCAACAGUACCACUUGAAUUGGUACAUACAGAUGUAUGUGGACCAAUCAAUGUACAAGCUCGAGGAGGUUAUGAGUAUUUCAUCACUUUUACUGAUGAUUACUCAAGAUACGGUUAUGUUUAUCUGAUGCGUCAUAAGUCUGAAGCUCUUGAGAAAUUCAAAGAGUAUAGGGCUGAGACAGAAAAGCAAUUAGAUAAGAACAUAAAGAAACUUCGAUCUGAUCGAGGUGGUGAAUUUCUCUCAGGAGAUUUCAAAGAGUAUCUGGUUGAAAAUGGGAUUAUAUCUCAAUUGACUGCCCCGGGAACACCACAACAAAAUGGGGUAGCUGAAAGAAGAAAUAGAACUCUUUUGGAUAUGGUGAGAUCUAUGCUUAGUUAUUCGUCAUUACCAAUCUCUUUUUGGGGAUUAGCACUGGAAACUGCAGUUUACCUUUUGAACUUAGUUCCAUCUAAGUCAGUGCCUAAAACCCCAAUAGAAUUAUGGUCAGGUCGCAAACCAAGUUUACGACAUGUCCGUAUUUGGGGAUCACCAGCACAUGUGCUGAAACCAAAGGCAGACAAAAUGGAUUCACGUUCUGAGGUUUGUAUGUUUGUGGGGUAUCCCAAAGGAACAAGGGGAGGUUUAUUUUAUAGUCCUCAAGAUAGGAAAGUGAUAGUGAGCACACAUUUCACUUCCCUCGAGGAAGACUAUAUGAAUAACUUCAAACCUAAGAGUAAGGUAAUACUUGAAGAACUGUCAGGUGAUCAGGUUGAUGCUCAGCUUUCAAUGCCUGUUACAGAACAGGAAGAACAGCAACAACCAGAUGAUCAACACAGGAUUAACCCUGAACAACCAUCACUUUUAGAACCUCGUCGUAGUGGGAGGGUAACUAGGUUACCUGCGAGAUACAUGCUUUUGGGAGAAACCUAUAUGGCUAUCUCAGAUGAACAUGUACAAGAUCCCACUAGUUACAACGAAGCUCUAAUAGAUAGAGAUGUUGAAUUUUGAAAAAGGCCAUGAAUCAAGAAAUGGAAUCUAUGUAUUCCAAAAAAAAAGUCUGGGAACUUGUAGAAGCGCCAAAUGGGGUAAAACCUAUAGGGUGCAAGUGGAUCUACAAGAGAAAAAGAGGAGUAGACGGAAAUGUGGAAACAUUUAAAACAAGAUUAGUAGCCGAAGGGUUUACUCAGAAAGGAGGAAUCAAUUAUAAGGAAACCUUUUCUCCGGUUGCUAUGCUUAAAUCCAUCAGGAUUCUGCUCUCCAUUGCUGCAGUGCUAGAUUAUGAAAUUUGGCAAAUGGAUGUCAAGACUGCCUUUCUUAACGGGCAUCUUGAAGAAAACAUCUACAUGCAGCAACCAGAUGGAUUUAUACAAAAAGGCCAAGAACACAUGGUAUGUAAGUUGCAGAGAUCAAUUUAUGGAUUGAAGCAAGCAUCCCGGUCAUGGAACAUCAGAUUUGAUCAAGCGAUAAAAUCGUUUGGAUUCAUUCAGAACAUUGAUGAACCAUGUGUGUACAAGAAAAUUCAAGAAAAAUUUGUAACCUUCCUAAUUCUUUAUGUAGACGAUAUUCUUCUAAUUGGAAACGAUAUAGGAGUGUUGACUACAAUAAAGAGUUGGUUAGCAGAACAAUUUGAUAUGAAAGACCUGGGAGAGGCAAGUUAUAUUCUUGGUAUCAAGUUACCACGAGACCGGAAGAAUAAAACUUUAGCCUUGUCUCAAGCGGUCUAUAUCGAUAAGAUAUUGGCUAGAUUUAGCAUGGAAAAUUCCAAGACUGGUUUAUUACCAUUCAGACAUGGAAUUACAUUCUCUAAGGAUCAAUCACCUAAAACAUCUGAAGAGAUAGAGAGAAUGAGACGAGUUCCCUAUGCAACACCUGUGGGAAGUCUCAUGUAUGUCAUGCUUUGCACUAGGCCAGACAUCUGUUUUGCGAUAGGGAUGGUUAGUCUAAUCCUGGACCUGAACACUGGACUGCGGUCAAGCAUAUAAUGAAGUAUCUGAAAAGAACUUAAAAUUAUAUGCUUGUGUAUUCUGGUGAUAAACUUAUUCUAGUGGGUUAUACUAAUUCUGAUUUUUUGUCAGAUAAGGAUUUUAGAAAAUCAACUUCCGGCUAUGUGUUUACAAUGGGAAGUGGAGCUAUUAGUUGGAUGAGUGUGAAACAAUCUUGUAUCACAGACUCAAUAACUAAAGCUGAAUAUGUGGCUACAUCUGAAGCUGCAAAGGAAGCUAUAUGGCUCUGCAAGUUCCUACGAAAUCUUGAGGUGGUACCUGUUGUAACUGCACCCCUUAAACUAUUAUGUGAUAAUGGUGGUGCGGUAGCUCAAUCUAAGGAACCAAGGAACCACAAGAAACAAAACAUAUUGAAAGGAAGUAUCAUCUUAUAAGGGAAUAGUGUAGAAAGGUUAUAUGACAGUACCCCAAAUGGUAUUAGAUGCUAAAUGACAGAUCUUAUUACAAUGGCCAUUAGUGGGAAACCUUUAUAACCUACACUUAGAGCCCUAGAGCAUGUGCAAUAUGCCAGAUAUGCUUUGAGAGCUAGUGGGAGAUUGUUGGGAAAAUAUGCUCUUUAAAAGCAUAUGUGUUUAUUUAAUUGUAAUAAACAUUUUUUCUGAUUAAUAAAAUAAAUGAGGUAUUUUAUUCAAAUAUCUUAAUUGCAUUAAUAUUUGUAUUAAAGUCCAUUUAAUCAUAUUAUAUGUAUUUAUGUGAUCACUAUGUGGAUUCACAGAAGACAUAAAUACAAGUUAUCUUAUGAUUAAAUAAAUUUAGUUCGCAGUUGAUAAAUAAAGUUGGGCACUUUAUUUAGGUAUAGACUGUAAUAAAUUCAUUGAAUGAUUUGUCUUAAUCAUGUAUGAAUUUAUUGAUGUAGUACGACUACAUUGAACAGGAUCACAUAUGAGAUUUAAUUAACUUUGUAAUAACUGUCAGACUUAUUAAAUCUCAUAGGCGUUGAUUUUACUGUAAUCUUAAUCUUGAGUUAAUUAUGAUUUCAUGAUUGUGAUUGUUAUUUCAUUUGAGUUACCAAUGGGCACGACACAUCCUUGUGGUCAAGAUUACCCGGUAUCUUGGUGGGAGCAAUUAUGAGUAUUGGAGUUAUGGAUUAACAAUAUAGAAUUUGUACAACACAUCUCUUGAUAGGUUUUCGGUACUUGAUCAUAAAAUUCUCUGGCCAGAGUGUAUCAACAUAUUUAGUAUGUUGAAAAUGAUCAUUAGAGAAAACCAGUAAGGAUCAAGGAAUAAGAUGUUAUUAAAUUGAUUGGACAGUUGAGAUAUCAAUUUAAUUAACGAUGUGGUACAAAGGAUUGUGUAGUAAAGAAAUCAAUGUGGCUUGGGACGAAUUAUUAUUCGAGCAUACAAUUAUGGAAGUCAGUUCCAAUCUUUUAGUGGAGUAGAUUUGGAAUUAAAUAAUUGGGCUAGUUUAAUUACAGGCCUAAUUAUUGUAGCCACUAUUGUAUGUUCCCAAAUGAUCCCCGGGUUAGCUCAUUUAAUUGACUGCACCACUACUGGACUAAUAAGUAAGAUAACUAGCUAUUUGGGUCAAAAGCCUAAAUAUAUCAUUUAGUGGGAGGCUCCAUUUAAUUAGCUUUUGUAUAAGGGGCCUUAUGUUAUUUUACAAGGUGGGUCCCCUAUUGAAAAAGAAAAUAACGUGAGUUUUAUGAAGGGUAUUACUAGGAGCCUAGGGUUUUCACUAAAGGGUGAUAUAAAAGGCUUAUUUUUCCCAAAAGAAAAAAGAGAAGCCACUUUAUACAAAUCAGAGAAUAAGAUUUUUCUCUCCAUUGUUGAGAGAAAAAUUUUCUCGUGCUAGUUGCUUUGGUAGUGAUAAAGGCGCCCACACGUCAAGUGCAGAUCGAACCUGAGUCAUAACCUGGAAGAUCAUAGGAGACAGUUCGUGAUCUAACAAGCGUGGUGGUGACGGAUCGUGAUCUAACAGGAGUGGUGGUGGCGGAUCGUGAUCUAGGAGCCUAAAUCACUUCAGCGGAAAAAGCAAACUCAGAUUUACAAGGUACGAUUUCUAGAAUACGAAUUCUUAUAUAUUAUAUGAGAGCGAUCUUCAAAAGGUUUUAUAAAAAAUUAAAAAUCUAAUUUUUCCCCAACAAAAGGUUUGUCCAUUUUCCUUUUUGCUGCAAUUCUGCAUUCUCAACGAAAGUAGUAUAGCAGUUUAUGCAGGCUUUCUACAUUUUUUUUUUUUCAGUUUCGGAGGAUUUGGUGGCAAAUUGAAAAGGAAACAGAGCAAGGUUACAACGUGCUACUGCAUGAUUUAUUUAUAUCUGGACACUAUUUUAAUGAAAAUACGAAUCUUGGCUAAGCAUUGUUCUCAAAUGGAACGCGAGUGAGAAAAGACAGCUGUUAGGUUCAUCAAGUCAACAAUUCUAUUAAUCUUUGCAAUACAUCAUUGCAUAUAUUUGCAAAUGACUUAAUGACAAAAUCAGUCAGCUGUAAAUUGUUAAAUCGUUUGUGUUUGAUUCAGAGCUACAUCAUCUGAAAGAAUCCUUUGGUCCUUCAAAUGAGUUGAUCAUCUCCCUUCAACGUAGCAACCAACGUAAAACCAUUAACAAUGGUACCUUGUCUAGCACACUGCAACAAGAAGCACAAUUUUUAGCUUCUUACAACUAUGAGAAGAACACUUUGUGGGGAAAACAGGCAAGUAAUAACCUCUGGGAAAACAUUGGGAUGCCGUUAAUAUUAUUAAGCAGAUACUGAUUAUGUCAUUGAAUCUUUGCUUUUGGUUUCAAACCAGAUAGGAUACUUGUACAAAUCUCUGAUAGAAGAUUAUUUUACCGGAUUGAUUUUGCACUGCAAAGGAUGGAAAUCCGUCUUUUGCAAUCCAUCACGGUCAGCAUUCUUAGGAAGUGCUACAUCAAGUUUGAAUGACACAUUGGUUCAAGACACAAGAUGGAACUGCGGUUUGCUUGAAGUCACCUUCUCAAAGUGCUCCCCUCCUCUUUAUGGGCUAUCAAGAAUGCCUUUGCUUCAAACAAUGUGCUAUAGCUACUAUGCUUUGCAGCCAUUCUAUUCCUUGCCGUUGUGGUGUUUAGCUUCUGUGCCUCAGCUGUGUCUCAUAAAUGAAAUUUCCUUGUACCCAAAGGUAACCAUUUCUAAAUCUAGAUUAGGAGGGAAUUUGGAAAUGCUUUGUCUUAUUGAUAUGUCUAAAACAUUGUAACUAUUUAUUUCUCUUCUACUCAGGUUUCAAGUCCAUGGUUUGUGAUCUUUUCAUCUAUUUUCUUAUGUUCACUACUGAAACAUUUGGUGGACGUUCUCGUCACCGGUGGUUCAGUCCAGACGUGGUGUAAUGAACAGAGGAUUUGGAUGAUAAAAUCACUCACUUGAAAUGUUUUUGUAUGAAACAACCUAGUUUCUCGCCCACAAAUAAACUUUCCGAUGAUGAACAAGUCAAGUUACACAAAAUGGGUAAAUUCAACUUCCAAACCUCAACCAAGUUUCUUGCUCCUUUAGCUACCCUAGUCAUGUUGAAUAUGAUUGCUUUUAGUGGAGGAAUUGCUAGAAUGGUGAUUUCGGGGGGCGCAAACGAGUUGCUUGGACAAGUUAUCCUCUCAUUUUACAUCUUACUGGAGAGUUACCCAAUAAUUGAAGGGAUGGCAUGGAGGAAGGAUAAAGGGCAAGUCCCAGCUUCUGUUGGGUUACUCUCUUUUGUUCUCUCCAUCAUUUUCUUGCUUUUGGGUUCCGUGGUUCUCAGGUUAAUUUGAAUUGUGCUAGAGGUUCAGAAUAAAAGCGAAAGGUCACAAUUAUGUGCUUCAUUUUUGAAAUAGUUAAUGCCCCCAUUAACUUCUUAUUGCUUUCAAAUGAUGCCGAUAAAGGCAACAGCCCUGUUUCACAGGAUGACCUAAUAAGAACAAAAUUGCAAAAUACUGGCACCUAUUGCUUAAUUGAAGGUCCUUGCGCUUGUUCAUGACACACUUAAGCUCAUUGACUGGGGGCACAAGAAAUUUCGAUACCUUGCAUAUCACCACUUAAUUUUGUUAAUUCAAAUUAAUUCUUGUUCCUUAUGCUGAAGUACAAACGAUUUAUAUUAACCAUUCAAUCAUUUUUCAUCUCUAAUUUCACCAUUUCACCAUUUCAUUUGGAAACAAUUUCACUUUAUAUUAACACCAAGUGCCCUUUUUUAUUCAAUUGAAUAUGCCACUCACAAUGCCCUUUCGUAAACAACCCAAUGCCCGAAAGAUUACAUCUCUCCUUGCUUCCAACGUACUGCAGCAAGAGACCGAAGUUUUAGCCUCCUGCAGUUACGAGCAUCAAACAAAAUGGGGUAAAGAGGCAAGCAACAAGCACAUCAUCUUAUCAACUUAAACAUAGUCAAGUCUUAAUUGCAUUACUAAAUCAUUAUCACAUGCCAUCACAUUACAUCUCUCCUUGCUUUCGAAAUCAGGUGGGUUUUUCGUAUCAAGCUGUUUCGGAAGAUUUCUUUAAUAGCAUUCUAUAAGAGAGAUUGUAUCAUUUUGAAGUUUGAAAUUUUGGAAGAAAACGGCUAUUGAAAUACUUUAUUUUAUUUUAAUAAUUAUGUUUAAACAUACCAAUUAAAAGAUAGUGUUAAGUGAUGCUAAUAUUAUCAUAUCGAAACAUCACGGUCUAUGCAAUUUAUUAAAUUUCAUCACUCAUACUCUUAAACUAAAUAUCAUCUCGGUCAAUAAAAUGAUGUCAAGUUAAACCUCUAUCUAUGUUAGGACAAUACAAUUUGUUAAUAUGAAAGAUCUAAAAGAGUGACGAUUGCUAUCAAUUAUGCCAUUACUGAAGUUAAAUCAUCAAAAGAAGUCUCAUUGUUCAAUUCCCUUUUCAUUAUUCUAAUCUAAGAAGCUCGAUCAAAAUUUAAUCAAUAAAAAUAAAUCAAAAGUCUAACAAAUUUUUACAAUUGUAAGGUUCUCACCAUUAGGUUAGUUGUUAUUGUUACUCCUAUUUAGAACCUAAGGUUGUUUAAGCAUAUUUUAGGUAUUAGAUGUUUUAAGUCCCCUCCUUCCAGACUUGGGAUUCUUAGAAACAACAAAAUAUGAUAAUAUUAUUGAAAAUAAGGGAAUUGCUAAAAGAUUAGCCUCUUUUGAAUGGUUUGGUUCUCAAUACAAGAUGUGAAGAAUACAAUGGAUAAUUACUUCAAAAUAGAGUGGAAGGAUCUUAAUAUAAUAAAAAAGUAACGCAAAGUUAUACUUUCUACCAUAUUGGGUAGUAAAAGGAUGAUAAUGAAAAUAAUUGGAUAGACACUAAAUAUAUAUGAUAUUUAUUCCUAUAUAAGAGACAAUUAAGUCUAGUAUGAAAGUUGGAAGUGUAACGGUGGAACAUACAUGUGCCCUCAAAUUGAGGGCACAAUUUCUUACCACCAUUAUUAUCUUAGACAUUUGAAUAAAGAAAAAUGAUAUUUGAGUAUUAAGAAGACAUUGCAAAGAUAGAAAGGACAGCUUUAUAGCAUGAACAAUAGCACUGUUUUUAUCUUCUUAGGCCAUGUUUGAAUGCUAGGAUUAAGUAAGAGAUUGAACUAAUUUUGAAAUUAAAUAUUUAUUUCAUAUUUGGCAAGCAGAGUUGGAUCGAACUAAGGAGGACUAAAUUUAAAUUUAGUCUUCAAAUCGUGAGAUUUGUAAUCUUAAUAUACUCAUGGAUUUAUUAGAAUAAAAUUAAGGAAAAAAGAAAGUUGUCCAUUUAUAAAAGUUUCAUUCAUAACAUUAUUUUUUAUUUAUACCGAAUAUCAAUCAAUCAAAUAAUUAAUUAAUUUUUUUUAUUUAUGAUUUACUUAAAAUUUAUUUUUUUAUUUAUUAUCUAUGAUCUAAUUAAAUUGGUAGUUUUACUUCUACUAGAUUAAAUUUUCAUUACUUGCAUUUAAUAAUUUUUCUAUAAAAUUAACCACUUAAUAAUUUAUUGCAUUAUUGAUUGUAAUAAAUUUAAUAAUCACUAAUACAAUACUAAAUUGAUCUUUUCACACUUUUAGUAGAUAAAUUAAAAAUUGUCUCUAAGUAGGGGUACCCUUUCUCAAAUCCUUUUUAGAGUUGACCAUGGCGAUAAAAUGGAGAGUUAAGAGCAUAACAAAGUCAAGAAAUAAAUGAAAAUAUAUUAAAAUUUGAUGUUGAAGAUCAGCCUUAGGACAUAAAAUUACACAGCACAGAUCUAGGCUCUUGAAUUUCAUACGACUCGUCUUUUCUGAAGUAUAAAUAUAAAUAAGAGACUAUGUAAAAUUUCUAGAUAGGGCCAAUCAAAGAGACAUCAAAUUUAAGGUUGAUUUAUAAUUAAUUAAUUAAUGCUUCGUUGAACUUACUUUAAACAUAAAUCAAGGGGUAUGUAGAUUACUUCAGUGAAUACAAUAAAGGAUGAGAAACUCACAGUAUAUUUUGUGUUCAUUUCCUUUGGUGAUUCACAUCCUUAUCUCGCAUUAUUCUCGAUUGUUCUUGGCCCAAGCCUUCUAGAGGCUCUCAUGUCAACCUCAUUUGCAGCAAAUCUUCGAUUACGGUUUCCCCGCCAAAACCACUUCUAUGGGGCAUUCUGUCGAACACCUAUGGACAUAUAUCAAACACCAUACUUUUAACUGUUACUAAUGUUGUGUAUGAUACAAUAAGCAUGGCAACCACAAAUUCAAUUGCUUUGCUCUUGUUGAAAAUAAGAAAGAACUGCAAACAGAGCUUGCACCAUCGUUAGGAGAAGUAUGGCAAAAGCAGCAAGAACGGAGAUGAUUGCCCACGGAGUGUUGAAAUAAUUGUGCCUCAAAUUGGCCAUCCACUUAUUACGACGCCUGCUGCGAUGGAAGUUCACUUUGUUAAAUACCUCCCAGUAAUAGAACUGCUUACCGAGUACAGCACCAUCACCAAGCUUGUGAAUUAAGGUUACAAUCACUUCAUCAUCUCCUAAAAAAUUAUCAAUUAUUCCACGAUGACGAAGUAAUUCAGCAUCCUUUGAAGAGUUGAUGAGGCAGCCCAACAAUUCAACAUAAUCUAUUACAUGCUUCGGAUUUAUGUCUUGGGAACACUGCUCAAAUGUAAUGAGAUUCUGAAAAAUGGUUUCUGUAGCAUCAGUAAUUUCCAGGGAUGGGAUCAUCAUUACCCCAUUUUCGAACUUAAUGUCGAACAAGGAAUCAUCCUUAUGGACCUCAAACAUCUGGAACU